RNAcentral lists this transfer RNA (73 nucleotides) under Danio rerio (zebrafish). It matches the Rfam family "tRNA". Rfam says of the family: Transfer RNA (tRNA) molecules are approximately 80 nucleotides in length. Their secondary structure includes four short double-helical elements and three loops (D, anti-codon, and T loops). The record is from Rfam by way of RNAcentral. Lineage: Eukaryota; Metazoa; Chordata; Actinopteri; Cypriniformes; Danionidae.
GCCUCGUUGGCGCAGUAGGCAGCGCGUCAGUCUCAUAGUCGGAAGGUCGUGAGUUUGAGCCUCACACGGGGCA